CCUACGGGGGGCAGCAGUGGGGAAUAUUGGGCAAUGGGCGCAAGCCUGACCCAGCCACGCCGCGUGAAGGAAGAAGGCUUUCGGGUUGUAAACUUCUUUUCUCAGGGACGAAGCAUGUGACGGUACCUGCGGAAUAAGCCACGGCUAACUACGUGCCAGCAGCCGCGUUAAUACGUAGGGGGCAAGCGUUAUCCGGAUUUACUGGGUGUAAAGGGCGUGUAGGCGGGGACGCAAGGCAGAUGUGAAAACCAUGGGCUCAAACUGUGGCCUGCAUUUGAAACUGUGUUUCUUGAGUACUGGAGAGGCAGGCGGAAGUCGUAGUGUAGCGGUGAAAUGCGUAGAUAUUAGGAGGAACACCAGUGGCGAAGGCGGUCUGCUGGACAGCAACUGACGCUGAGGCGCGAAAGCGUGGGGAGCAAACAGGAUUAGAUACCCGUGUAGUC
Molecule: ribosomal RNA, 443 nt
Filed under: uncultured bacterium
Lineage: Bacteria
Description: partial 16S ribosomal RNA
Rfam family: Bacterial small subunit ribosomal RNA
Source: RNAcentral